Molecule: microRNA precursor, 165 nt
Filed under: Oryza glumipatula
Lineage: Eukaryota; Viridiplantae; Streptophyta; Magnoliopsida; Poales; Poaceae
Description: MIR812 microRNA precursor family
Rfam family: MIR812 microRNA precursor family
Source: Rfam by way of RNAcentral
UUCAACAUUUGAUCAUCCGUUUUUUUUUAAAUAUUUUUGUUAUUAGUAUUUUUGUUGUUAUUAGAUGAUAAAAUAUGAAUAAUACUUUACGCGUAUUAUUUUUUUACUUUUUUCAUUAAAAAAAUUAAAUAAGAUGAACGGUCAAACGUUGGACUUAAAACCCAC